UGCACUUCUUGCUGGAUAGUUGGCAGCCAAAGACUGCUCUUGCGACCAAGAUACUUGCACCAUUUUUUGUAGUUUUUGAAAAGUUUCUUCAUAACAUCAGUAAGUGCCAGGUCAUCCAGCUUUGGUUGUUGAUCAAGCUUUGGAAAUUGUCGGAUGUGGACAUUAGCCAACAACAGAAUCAGAUGCUCCCGCUGAUUCGCCACAUUAUCUUUCUGAAAACCAAACAUAGCUUGA
RNAcentral lists this unclassified non-coding RNA (234 nucleotides) under Hevea brasiliensis (rubber tree). The record is from RNAcentral. Lineage: Eukaryota; Viridiplantae; Streptophyta; Magnoliopsida; Malpighiales; Euphorbiaceae.